CCUACGGGCGGUAGCAGUGAGGAAUAUUGGUCAAUGGACGAGAGUCUGAACCAGCCAAGUAGCGUGAAGGAUGACUGCCCUAUGGGUUGUAAACUUCUUUUAUAUGGGAAUAAAAUGUUCCACGUGUGGGAUUUUGUAUGUACCAUAUGAAUAAGGAUCGGCGAACUCCGUGCCAGCAGCCGCGGUAAUACGGAGGAUCCGAGCGUUAUCCGGAUUUAUUGGGUUUAAAGGGAGCGUAGGUGGAUUGUUAAGUCAGUUGUGAAAGUUUGCGGCUCAACCGGAAAAUUGCAGUUGAAACUGGCAGUCUUGAGUACAGUAGAGGUGGGCGGAAUUCGUGGUGUAGCGGUGAAAUGCUUAGAUAUCACGAAGAACUCCGAUUGCGAAGGCAGUUCACUGGACUGCAACUGACACUGAGGCUCGAAAGUGUGGGUAUCAAACAGGAUUAGAUACCCGAGUAGUC
RNAcentral lists this ribosomal RNA (460 nucleotides) under uncultured bacterium. RNAcentral describes it as "partial 16S ribosomal RNA". It matches the Rfam family "Bacterial small subunit ribosomal RNA", at positions 338 to 795 of the family's 1533-position model. The record is from RNAcentral.